Carcharodon carcharias (great white shark) is the source of this 707-nucleotide long non-coding RNA. RefSeq lists it as uncharacterized. The transcript has 5 exons. NCBI's taxonomy places the organism in Eukaryota, Metazoa, Chordata, Chondrichthyes, Lamniformes, Lamnidae. The record is from RefSeq and is a predicted model, not a curated record.
CUGUGGCAGUGGGUUCCACAUUCUAUCCAUUCUCUGGGGGAAGAUGUCCCAAACAACAUUUGAGAGGUUGCGGACCAGCGGAGGACCCCCAUGCUUCCUCAUCCUCACCAGAUUGGAGCAGGACGCCUUGGAGCUCGAGAAGUACCGUGCACUCGGUCAGCCGGCCGCGGAAAGGCUGGGGUGUCAGACGAAAGUUAGAGUGCAGAGCACUGAGAUUUGCCUCAAAGCAGCAUUCUCAGGACCUCCAGGAGCUAUCCCUGACACUGAAGGACCACCAGGCUCCAGAAGCACCUGUGUCACACCUGCUCUCUGAAGAAGGCACCAGUGCAGUUACCAACACCUCCGGUGGGCGUUAGACCCUCGACUAAAACGUCAGUGCACAGCGUUCCAACAGAGUUUUGCUGACAUUGAAGCCGGCAGUGCUGGUUACACCUGGGCCGGAAUAUUACGCUUGUCGGGCUGGUGCACGCCCACCUGAACCAAACAUGCAUAAAAUGACGCACGACCACGUAGGGAAUGCUGAACAAGACCUGUAUCUUUCAACCAGAAUAGGAGGGUAGCUGCCAUGGAUACACUCACUGAACUUUACUGCAUGGUGAUAGAUUUUGUAUCCUGACUUAUCAUCCACAAGGAGGGUGGGCGAGGGAUUUUCUGACGGAGGGAAAUAAGGUUGACAGUGACACUUCUUUCAUUGUGUGCGCGUUUAU